RNAcentral lists this unclassified non-coding RNA (349 nucleotides) under uncultured fungus. RNAcentral's name for it is "partial contains small subunit ribosomal RNA, internal transcribed spacer 1, and 5.8S ribosomal RNA". The stretch from base 1 to 73 matches the Rfam family "Eukaryotic small subunit ribosomal RNA", at positions 1759 to 1831 of the family's 1831-position model. Lineage: Eukaryota; Fungi. The record is from RNAcentral.
CCAAACUUGGUCAUUUAGAGGAAGUAAAAGUCGUAACAAGGUUUCCGUAGGUGAACCUGCGGAAGGAUCAUUACAAAGGUUGAUGAAAUGCCAUGUUCCCGGGGCCUCUCCCUUUCUCUCUCUCUCUCGGGGGGGGGGAGGUUAGUGUGUUUUGGGGGCAUGGCAUGUACCAACAACCACGAUCAUCCACCAUGUGCACUCAUUGAACCAUGGGGAUUUAUUUUUUGACCCCUCAUGUUCCAAACCUUUUCUCCAGCCUUACCGUUUGUCUGAACAUUAUCAUUUUUCAAAUGAAAAUACAACUUUCAACAACGGAUCUCUUGGCUCUCGCAUCGAUGAAGAACGCAGC